RNAcentral lists this long non-coding RNA (229 nucleotides) under Vigna radiata. RNAcentral's name for it is "long non-coding RNA (VRAD_LNC013738)". The record is from RNAcentral. Lineage: Eukaryota; Viridiplantae; Streptophyta; Magnoliopsida; Fabales; Fabaceae.
GGGGAGGCUAGGGAUAACAAGCCAGUAAUUAGUAUUAGGCUUUUUUCGCCGAGGGAUCGGGUUAAGGGUAGGCUAAGAAAGUUGCAUGAAAAUUAAUUAAUCAAGCUAAUAAUUCAAGAGGAGUAAAUAAGAGAGAGCGGAUAAGAUGAAAUUGUAAACCCCCAACAACUCCAUUCAUCCAUUGUUUUCUUCUUGUCAUUUGAAUCAAUAUUUUCUUUUGCAUGUUCAU